AUGACGAGCCGAGAUCUCUCGCCGCCAGAUACCGGGAUGUUCAGCUUCAGUUCACCCUUUCCUCUUUCCUUCCAGCCGCCGUCGAGGUACUCGUAUAUAGCAGAGUCAGCAGUGAAUACAGCCUUCUCAUUCUCUUCGCCAGUUUCAACUGGGCCCUCUGACAUGGCAAAUUUCUUCGGUGCGUCUGCUGCAGUGGCGAGUGAUGGGGCAGAACUCCCAUUGUUCGGAGCACCCAUGUUGAAAGAAGGGAAUGAUGAGCCAUCACUCUUUAGCCCAAAUAGGGGAGCAUUUGAGCUGUCUUUAGAGCCCGAGCCAAAUGAAAAUGAUGAGCCUGAAAAUCCAGUUCCAGCCAGUCCUGUGAAAGCAUUUUGGCCACUUGACAGAUUGGUGAAGGAGAAAAGAGGUGUCGGUGAUGAUGACUGCCCUUUGUUAUCAGCAUCCUUCUGCUCAGAUGAUCCAUCCUUGGUCCCUGAUUCAGCUUCAUCAUUUUUCUCAUCAUCAUCCUUGCUGACUUUAUCUUCACCUCCAGCUUCAUCCACUGCUUUCUUCUCUUCAGCAUCUCCAUCAUUUGUUUUGCCCUCAAUUUCAGAUGUCUUGCUGUUAUCUUCCUUGGGUUCUUCAACAACCACUUUGUCCUCACCAGUUCCAUCCACUGUAACUUCUGCCUUGCCGUCUGACUCAACAAGUUGA
This 690-nucleotide ribosomal RNA is filed under the name Triticum aestivum (bread wheat). RNAcentral's name for it is "partial small subunit ribosomal RNA". Lineage: Eukaryota; Viridiplantae; Streptophyta; Magnoliopsida; Poales; Poaceae. The record is from RNAcentral.